This 1137-nucleotide long non-coding RNA is filed under the name Neogale vison (American mink). RNAcentral describes it as "Neovison vison (American mink) lncRNA (ENSNVIG00000018648.1)". Lineage: Eukaryota; Metazoa; Chordata; Mammalia; Carnivora; Mustelidae. The record is from RNAcentral.
AGAGCAGGCCUCCUUGGUGGGCAAGAUGCACCUGCUGAACCCUUUCACUCUGGCGGGAGUGCCAUGGAGCAGGUGCCCAUCACCGGGUGUACAGGCCCGCGUGGCAGGUGGCGAGCGACCCGCAGGGUGUUACCCGGCUCACGGGACGAGCCGCUUCUGCGAGUCCUAGGAAGGGUGCUGUGCCGCUCAGCCCCGGCCUGUCCGGAUGUCAUGACGCGGACACGGGGACCCAAAGCGUGGCAGGGUGUUCCCCUUCCGCGUGUGACCCCCGUCUGCUCUGGGCCCUGCAGCUAAGAGCGAGGCCAGCGGCUUCCAGCCAGGAAACAGCGGGGCGUCUGGCGUUGGGACCGGCCUGUUGGUUCUGGGGCGCCCUCGGUUGUCUUCCUUCCCAGCCCGACCCGGCCGGCGUUCCUGAAAGCUGCUGGGGGACGGGAGCAGCCCCCCACUCGCUGAGAGGGCAGCGUGGGGUGCGUCUCCUCCCGCCCGCCCCCCUCUCCCUGGGGCUGGGCGUGUCACACUCCGCCUGCCGUCACAAACCUGCUCUGGUUCUCGUGCUGAUGUCGGAACUCGCCCCGAAGGGUCCGGCUCCGCACGCUGCGCAGGGGUCCGCGAACGCUCUGCCUGGCUGGCUUAGCUCUGUGGGGUCGAUGCCGGAGCGCUCUCUACGUGUGUGUCAUUCCCCCAAAAUUGCCACGAUCACGAACAGUCCGAGUUCGCCCCCAGCCGGCAGGCCGUUGGUGGGCAGGGAGCCAGGAGAGGCCACAUCCCGGGCGCCGCCUCCCACUGCUGGCUGUGUGCCUGGACCGCCACCUUCCCGCCCUUGCGUUGUCCCCCCACCGCCCAGGCAGCCCGUGUCCUCAUCACGUCCCUGCCCCGGCCGGAGAGCAGUGAUUGGACUGUGGGUCUGUGACAGGUGAGGGGCGGGCUGAGCACGGCGAGCGGCACGAGGGACGGGAGCCGGUCUCCCCGUGACCCCUCGGGCGUGGCCGGGCGAGGCGGUGGGGCCUGGGUGACCGGCCUGUCUCUGCCAACCCCCUCCCCGUAGGUGCUGCCCGCUCGGGCCCAGAAAUGGGAUGUCAGGCCUCCAGAAGGAGCACAGUGGAAGCCAGGGCCUCCCCGAGCCGCUGCUGUGACGGC